UACAGAGGGGGCAAGCGUUGUUCGGAAUUACUGGGCGUAAAGGGCGCGUAGGCGGCCUUCUAAGUCGAACGUGAAAUCCCCGGGCUCAACCCGGGAACUGCGUCCGAUACUGGAAGGCUUGAAUCCGGGAGAGGGAUGUGGAAUUCCAGGUGUAGCGGUGAAAUGCGUAGAUAUCUGGAGGAACACCGGUGGCAAAGGCGACAUCCUGGACCGGUAUUGACGCUGAGGCGCGAAAGCCAGGGGAGCAAACGGG
This 253-nucleotide ribosomal RNA is filed under the name uncultured bacterium. RNAcentral's name for it is "partial 16S ribosomal RNA". It matches the Rfam family "Bacterial small subunit ribosomal RNA", at positions 524 to 776 of the family's 1533-position model. The record is from RNAcentral.